GUGGGGAAUCUUGCGCAAUGGGCGAAAGCCUGACGCAGCCAUGCCGCGUGGAUGAUGAAGGUCUUAGGAUUGUAAAAUCCUUUCACCGGUGAAGAUAAUGACUGUAGCCGGAGAAGAAGCCCCGGCUAACUUCGUGCCAGCAGCCGCGGUAAUACGAAGGGGGCUAGCGUUGCUCGGAUUUACUGGGCGUAAAGGGCGCGUAGGCGGACAGCUUAGUCAGAGGUGAAAGCCCAGGGCUCAACCUUGGAAUUGCCUUUGAUACUGGCUGUCUUGAGUUUGGGAGAGGUGAGUGGAACUCCGAGUGUAGAGGUGAAAUUCGUAGAUAUUCGGAAGAACACCAGUGGCGAAGGCGACUCACUGGCCCAAUACUGACGCUGAGGCGCGAAAGCGUGGGGAGCAAACAGGAUUAGAUACCCUAGUAGUCC
Molecule: ribosomal RNA, 425 nt
Filed under: uncultured bacterium
Lineage: Bacteria
Description: partial 16S ribosomal RNA
Rfam family: Bacterial small subunit ribosomal RNA
Source: RNAcentral